AAUAAAUCUAAUACUAUCUGGUGAGGUUUAAACGUAAAACGGGGUAAGAUAAUUAACUUAAUUCAAGAUUUAUUCUCUGAAAAAGUCUUAAUUCUUACACACAGUUUUUAUCUUCUUUUACGAACGUUUGGAUAUUUUUGUAGUGUGUGUGUCAGUUUUGUCUAAUGGUGUUCUUGGAUGGAGAAUGAGAACACAGAGAAAACCAGCUGUGCAGGAAACUCCCCUGAGUUUGGAUGGUAAACAGUCACAGGUCUGUAUCUGUAGAUGCUGCAUGCACACGCUUGUCAUCUGUGCACAACAAUUAUAUGACUCAUGAUGAAAUCAGAGAGCUUGGGAGUGUCAGGCUGGCUUAGGCAGGGUGUGUUUGAGGGAAAGUUUGUGCAGACAACGCCCAUGUUUUCUGCGCUCACAUGGCAAACAGCCUAACAAUAGGAUGCAGUCCUACGCAUCAUAUAGUCAUGUGAAGUGCUGAGAUGGUAUAUCAAUGUGUUCAGUUUUUUAUUUGUGGUUGUGGAGGCACAUCUUUCACACCCCACUUAAGUACGUGUCAGCUUUAAAGCUCACCGUAGCCACCAGAUCCAGUCUGUCUCCAGGUCAGAUGGUCACUGCAGUCACCUGGAUCCAGUACGUAUCCAGCCCAGAUGGUGGAUCAGCACCUAGAAAGGACCUCUACAGCCCUGAAUGUCAGCGGAGACCAGGUCAACUAGAUGAGCCCAAGAUACAGAACCCCUGUAAAGACCUUGUCUCAGAUGACCACCGGGACAAGACCACAGUAAACAGAUGAUUCUUCUGCACAAUCUGACUUUGCUGCAGCCUGGAAUUGAACUGCUGGUUUCUUCUGGCCUGAGUUUGGUUUCUCUCAAGGUUUUUUCUCCAUUCUGUCACCGAUGGAGUUUUGGUUCCUUGCCGCUGUCACCUCUGGCUUGCUUAGUUGGGGACACUUCAUUUACAGCAAUAUCGUUGACUUGAUUGCAAAUGAUUGCACAGAUACUUUUUAAACUGAACUGAGCUGCAUGAUGACAUCACUGAAUUGUGGCCAAACCACUUUAAAACCAGCUUAGGAGAGCAGUCAAAGCAGUAAUCAGCGUAAGCUGGUUUUAGCUGGCUUUUCUUUUUAUUUAUUAAUUUUUUUUUCAGUAGGGCGUUGUUAAGCUUUGCUAUGGCAAUAGACAGCUUGAAUACACCAUAAGUCUAAUUGUAUAAAAGUUUUCACCCCCUCAGUGAAAGUGGGAUUUUUGGUGGUUUUGAUAGUCUGGUUUACGAAAAACCAUAAGCAGGAUCAGUUAGAAAAGAUGUAACAACCCGAAUCAGACCAGUCUGAAGGUCUGACCUAAGUUUGGUGGUUGUAGCUUUAAAAGUCUAGAAGGAGAUACAUUUAAAAAUUUGAAGAAGAAGAAGAAGAAGAAGAAGAAGAAGAAGAAGAAGAAGAAGAAGAAGAAGAAGAAGAAGAAGAAGAAGAAGUUUAAACCGGAUUUCAGUAUGUUGGCUUUUUCAAGCCAACUUAAUAACAGCUAGUAUUUAGUUCAUUUUUACUGCUUUAUUCAGUGUCAGGUUAUCAGUAUAUUUUAUGGCACACUACCUUUUAUAAAUGUUGGAUUGGUAAUAUAUAUAUAUAUAUAUAUAUAUAUAUAUAUAUAUAUAUAUAUAUAUAUAUAUAUAUAUAUAUAUAUAUAUAUAUAUAUAUUUAUAUAUAUAUAUAUAUAUAUAUAUAUAUAUUAAUGUUUUUGAAAGACGUCUCGUAUGCUUAUCAAGGCUGUAUUUACUCGAUCAACAAUAAAUAAAUAAACAGCAAAAACAGCAAUAUUAUUAUUAUAACAGUGAAAUAUUAUUACAAUUUAAAAUGUCUCCCCCUCUCCCUCCAUUUUUUUUUUAAAAAAUACAUUCAUUAUUGUGAUGGCAGAGCUGAAUUUUCAACAGUGAUUAGUGUCACUUCAGAAAUCAUUCUAAUAUGCUGAUUUGCUGCCCGAGAAACAUUUCCUAUUAUUGUCAGUGUUGAAAACACUUGUGCUGCUUAUUAUUUUUGUGGAAACUAUAAAUUCAUGUAAUUUUUUGUAACAACGUACACUCAUACAAACAUUAAAAAUCUUUGGUGAAUAAAAUAAUUUAUUUAUUUUAAAAAUUCUUACUGAUCUCAAAACUUUGAACGGUAUAGUGUACAAAGGAGAUUUUGGUUUAAAUAUGUUGGUACAUUUACAUUAUAUCACUUAAUGAAAUACAUAGUUAUAAGUUGUACAACUAUAAAGUCAUCAAUAUGUCAUUACAUACCUAAAACAUUGUCACCAUAUUUUACAGUAAAUGACUGAAAAUUUAACAGGAUAUUUUUCAUUCAUCGAAAAUUUUUAUAUUUGAGUGUAGAGAGGCCCAGAGAUAGAAUCAGAGAUCUUGUGCUGACAUUGGUUUAAUGCUAUGAGAGGAGACUCACUGUCUGACUGUCAUCAGACAUACCUACCUGUCACGUAUCUGCACUUAAAAUACGGCACACCCAGUACAAGUGAAACAACUUUCAAUGCCCCUAAAAUAUAUUUUAAAUGUCCUGAAAACAUCAUGUUUAGGUAAGAAAAUGUUGUCUACAAUGCAUUUUUGUACAUGCUGUUAUAAUGUUUCACACAUUCUAUGCCAAUAUUUGUUUCAUUUCAGCAUUUACUGAGAGGUUGCAAAAUGAGGGAAAGGAAAUAAUAGCGAAAAGGUCACAUACCUGUGCUUAGAGAGUGAACAAACAGAGUGCAGAGUGA
Long non-coding RNA from Cyprinus carpio carpio, 2732 nucleotides. The record is from Ensembl. Lineage: Eukaryota; Metazoa; Chordata; Actinopteri; Cypriniformes; Cyprinidae.